GGAGGUAUAGCUCAGUGGUAGAGCACGUGCUUAGCAUGCCCAAGGUCCUGAGUUCAAUCUCCAGUACCUCCA
This 72-nucleotide transfer RNA is filed under the name Camelus ferus (Wild Bactrian camel). It matches the Rfam family "tRNA". Rfam says of the family: Transfer RNA (tRNA) molecules are approximately 80 nucleotides in length. Their secondary structure includes four short double-helical elements and three loops (D, anti-codon, and T loops). Further hydrogen bonds mediate the characteristic L-shaped molecular structure. tRNAs have two regions of fundamental functional importance: the anti-codon, which is responsible for specific mRNA codon recognition, and the 3' end, to which the tRNAs corresponding amino acid is attached (by aminoacyl-tRNA synthetases). tRNAs cope with the degeneracy of the genetic code in two manners: having more than one tRNA (with a specific anti-codon) for a particular amino acid; and 'wobble' base-pairing, i.e. permitting non-standard base-pairing at the 3rd anti-codon position. The record is from Rfam by way of RNAcentral. Lineage: Eukaryota; Metazoa; Chordata; Mammalia; Artiodactyla; Camelidae.